Molecule: transfer RNA, 75 nt
Filed under: Candidatus Fermentithermobacillaceae bacterium
Lineage: Bacteria; Bacillati; Bacillota; Candidatus Fermentithermobacillia; Candidatus Fermentithermobacillales; Candidatus Fermentithermobacillaceae
Description: tRNA-Asp
Rfam family: tRNA
About the family: Transfer RNA (tRNA) molecules are approximately 80 nucleotides in length.
Source: RNAcentral
GGGCCCGUAGCUCAAGAGGAGAGCAUGCGUCUGUCACACGCCUGGCUGUGGGUGCAAGUCCCACCGGGUCCACCA